Aromia moschata is the source of this 86-nucleotide non-coding RNA. The record is from the annotation of a GenBank genome assembly. NCBI's taxonomy places the organism in Eukaryota, Metazoa, Arthropoda, Insecta, Coleoptera, Cerambycidae.
GCGGCGAUAGCUCAAUGGGUAAAGAAGAGAGGUGAGAAUAUGAUGAUUGUGAAUCAUCUGUGCGGGUUCGAUUCCCGCUUGUGGCA